RNAcentral lists this unclassified non-coding RNA (431 nucleotides) under plant metagenome. Its description in RNAcentral is "partial contains 5.8S ribosomal RNA, internal transcribed spacer 2, and large subunit ribosomal RNA". The stretch from base 1 to 102 matches the Rfam family "5.8S ribosomal RNA", at positions 50 to 154 of the family's 154-position model. The record is from RNAcentral.
AAACUGCGAUAAGUAGUGUGAAUUGCAUUUAGUGAAUCAUCGAAUCUUUGAACGCACCCUGCACUCACUGGUAUUCCGGUGAGUACGCCUGUUUCAGUAUCAUUGAAAACACACAAUCAAAACAUUUUCUUUGGUUUGAUUGGCUUUGGGUCUAUCAAAAAGUUUGGCUUGUUUCUUACAAGCCAAGCGGCCUGAAAUAUAUUGUCUGUCUAAUUGCAUCGUUGAUGAUCGCUAUUAGACUUUGGCUUUUUUAAAUGAACUGGAGGUUGAUUAACCAGUUUUAGCUUUAGUCAAAUGGUCAUUGUAAAAAAAAUCUCGAUCUUGGCUAGGUGUUUAUAGCCGAAAAUUUUUUUUUGGCUAUAACCGAAACCAAUAUAAUCACAUUUAGUUAUCGAUCUGAAAUCAGGUGGGACUACCCGCUGAACUUAAGC